Molecule: long non-coding RNA, 306 nt
Organism: Rhinichthys klamathensis goyatoka
Lineage: Eukaryota; Metazoa; Chordata; Actinopteri; Cypriniformes; Leuciscidae
Exons: 2
Source: RefSeq, a predicted model, not a curated record
GCCGAAAUCUCCACUCAAACCACUACUCCCUAACCCCUAGUUAGGGGGUAGGGAGUAGAGCACUAUAUAGUGAGCUCACCAGCAUAAUAGAAACACCACUUUCGGACACUACUCGAUCGUCUCUCGGCGCCGUUGAUUACUAGAGCACUAUAUAGUGAGCUCACCAGCGUAAUAGAAACACCACUUUCGGACACUACUCGAUCGUCUCUCGGCGCCGUUGAUUACGUCAUUACUGUCGCACUAUUUAAAUGCGCCAUCAUCUGUCAGCUGGUGCCGAGCCAGCUCUGGGCUAAAUAGAUUUUUUUU